RNAcentral lists this ribosomal RNA (1441 nucleotides) under uncultured organism. Its description in RNAcentral is "16S ribosomal RNA". It matches the Rfam family "Bacterial small subunit ribosomal RNA". The record is from RNAcentral.
CAGGCUUAACACAUGCAAGUCGAGGGGCAGCAUUUUAGUUUGCUUGCAAACUAAAGAUGGCGACCGGCGCACGGGUGAGUAACACGUAUCCAACCUGCCGAUAACUCGGGGAUAGCCUUUCGAAAGAAAGAUUAAUAUCCGAUAGUAUAUUAAAACCGCAUGGUUUUACUAUUAAAGAAUUUCGGUUAUCGAUGGGGAUGCGUUCCAUUAGUUUGUUGGCGGGGUAACGGCCCACCAAGACAACGAUGGAUAGGGGUUCUGAGAGGAAGGUCCCCCACAUUGGAACUGAGACACGGUCCAAACUCCUACGGGAGGCAGCAGUGAGGAAUAUUGGUCAAUGGACGAGAGUCUGAACCAGCCAAGUAGCGUGAAGGAUGACUGCCCUAUGGGUUGUAAACUUCUUUUAUAUGGGAAUAAAGUAUUCCACGUGUGGGAUUUUGUAUGUACCAUAUGAAUAAGGAUCGGCUAACUCCGUGCCAGCAGCCGCGGUAAUACGGAGGAUCCGAGCGUUAUCCGGAUUUAUUGGGUUUAAAGGGAGCGUAGGUGGAUUGUUAAGUCAGUUGUGAAAGUUUGCGGCUCAACCGUAAAAUUGCAGUUGAAACUGGCAGUCUUGAGUACAGUAGAGGUGGGCGGAAUUCGUGGUGUAGCGGUGAAAUGCUUAGAUAUCACGAAGAACUCCGAUUGCGAAGGCAGCUCACUAGACUGCAACUGACACUGAUGCUCGAAAGUGUGGGUAUCAAACAGGAUUAGAUACCCUGGUAGUCCACACAGUAAACGAUGAAUACUCGCUGUUUGCGAUAUACAGUAAGCGGCCAAGCGAAAGCAUUAAGUAUUCCACCUGGGGAGUACGCCGGCAACGGUGAAACUCAAAGGAAUUGACGGGGGCCCGCACAAGCGGAGGAACAUGUGGUUUAAUUCGAUGAUACGCGAGGAACCUUACCCGGGCUUAAAUUGCAUUUGAAUAAUCUGGAAACAGGUUAGCCGCAAGGCAAAUGUGAAGGUGCUGCAUGGUUGUCGUCAGCUCGUGCCGUGAGGUGUCGGCUUAAGUGCCAUAACGAGCGCAACCCUUAUCUUUAGUUACUAACAGGUCAUGCUGAGGACUCUAGAGAGACUGCCGUCGUAAGAUGUGAGGAAGGUGGGGAUGACGUCAAAUCAGCACGGCCCUUACGUCCGGGGCUACACACGUGUUACAAUGGGGGGUACAGAAGGCAGCUACCUGGCGACAGGAUGCUAAUCCCAAAAACCUCUCUCAGUUCGGAUCGAAGUCUGCAACCCGACUUCGUGAAGCUGGAUUCGCUAGUAAUCGCGCAUCAGCCAUGGCGCGGUGAAUACGUUCCCGGGCCUUGUACACACCGCCCGUCAAGCCAUGAAAGCCGGGGGUACCUGAAGUACGUAACCGCAAGGAGCGUCCUAGGGUAAAACUGGUAAUUGGGGCUAAGUC